This 433-nucleotide ribosomal RNA is filed under the name uncultured bacterium. RNAcentral's name for it is "partial 16S ribosomal RNA". It matches the Rfam family "Bacterial small subunit ribosomal RNA", at positions 29 to 507 of the family's 1533-position model. The record is from RNAcentral.
AACGAACGCUGGCGGCAGGCCUAACACAUGCCAGUCGAGCGAGAUCUUCGGGUCUAGCGGCGGACGGGUGAGUAACGCGUGGGAAUAUGCCUCUUGGUACGGAAUAGCCUCGGGAAACUGGGAGUAAUACCGUAUGUGCCCUUUGGGGGAAAGAUUUAUCGCCAAGAGAUUAGCCCGCGUUGGAUUAGGUAGUUGGUGGGGUAAUGGCCUACCAAGCCGACGAUCCAUAGCUGGUUUGAGAGGAUGAUCAGCCACACUGGGACUGAGACACGGCCCAGACUCCUACGGGAGGCAGCAGUGGGGAAUCUUUGACAAUGGGGGCAACCCUGAUCUAGCCAUGCCGCGUGAGUGAUGAAGGCCUUAGGGUUGUAAAGCUCUUUCAGCUGGGAAGAUAAUGACGGUACCAGCAGAAGAAGCCCCGGCUAACUCCGUG